CUACUAUAUAAUUAACACAAAUAACUAAUGCACAGCCCUUCCCACCCCCACAAUUAAAUGUUUUUAAACAACUCUCGUGAUGAAAGAUCUACCUUUCAGGCAAACAAAAGCCAUCCCCAGCAGUUUGAGGGUUUGACACUGGAUUGCAUCAGUUUUUAAGUGAUCCUGGUGAUUUUUAUCUCCUAGAGUUCUAAGGAAUAAACAGUUGAUGGCAUAAUUUCCAAGAGAAUUUUGCACGGUGCCCAGGAGAACUUUCGAUUCUGUUUGCAGAUUCCCACACUUAUUACCCAAAAUCCCACAGAUUUCCGUGUCUUGCCCUUGACUGAAACAGUGCUCGGCGGAAAAGGUCCUCUGGGGAGAUGUUUCUCCGUGCCCUUCUUGACAAACCCCCUUUGGAUAUCUGGAUACUCUGAACAUCUCAACUGGGUUACAACAAAUUUCAAAACUUCUGAGAGGCAGCAAUGCCUCUCAAGAGGAUCCCCGGUGGCCAGCCCAAAAGCGUGGGCUCUACAUUAACACACACUUCCUCGUUUUGACCUGCUUUAGCUGAUUAGGGAAGCCUGGAAAUGAAUUCACAUUCCUCACUCAACUUAGGAACUGGGACCAAAGCCUUUUGAUAUCCAAGGCGAGCCAAUCUGUUUACUAGUUAGUGUAUUCGCUUCGGAAGAUGGCUAUUAAAAUAUGUGGACUGUGUCCCGAAGAUCUAAGGCCGGCAGGUCGGUAACUCCAGCCCCUGAUUCAACUUGCUUCCAACCCGCAUAACCCCUGUUCUUCACUUCUUACUACAGCGGCUAUGAAGUGCGAGCCGAGAGUGGAGAGUGACACAGCACGUGAGCGAGCGGUCUAUACUUUGCACCGAGUGAGGAAGGGGGUUUUAAAGAGAGAGAGAGUAGUUGCAAUAAAAUGAAAGCUUCCGGUCUCUGAAACGCCUCAAA
Molecule: non-coding RNA, 935 nt
Organism: Cricetulus griseus (Chinese hamster)
Lineage: Eukaryota; Metazoa; Chordata; Mammalia; Rodentia; Cricetidae
Source: RefSeq, a predicted model, not a curated record